Molecule: RNA transcript, 879 nt
Organism: Microplitis demolitor
Lineage: Eukaryota; Metazoa; Arthropoda; Insecta; Hymenoptera; Braconidae
Exons: 3
Source: RefSeq, a predicted model, not a curated record
AAUAAAAUUUUUAAAUGACAGGUAUUUUUAGAGUCAUUAAAAAUUACUCUCUGUACCACUUUCGGCAGUCUGGUGAACAUUCAACGUCAGAUUUUUAAUAUUUUUUCUUGUCUACUAUUUCGUAGAAUCAUUGCUUGGUAAAGAUUUUUUCCCGGUUGUUGUGCCGAUUAAUAAUAAACGAUUGUAAAAAUAACAUGACUAAUAAUAAGAAUGUUAUUUUUGUAAUAAUAAAUGUUUUAAUAUUUAAUAAAUCCAUUUAUGCAGAUAAUUGUGCUCCGAAAAUGGCAAUUAUUGGUGGAGGAAUUGGUGGAGCAUCGGCAUUUCAUUAUCUUGGAAAUUUAUUUAACGAAAAUGUGGAUAUUGAUUUAUUCGAAGCUGAUAAAAUUGGCGGAAGAUUGGCAACACUUGAAGUAAACGAUCAUGAAUAUGAAGCCGGUGGUUCUGUUAUUGAGUAUAACAAUAUGCACAUGAGAUAUUUUGCUCAGUUUUUGAAUAAUUUUUUUUUCUUGCAUUAAAUAUUUCAUUAAAAACUCCAAUUAAAUCCGAUUGAAUCGGAUUUCUAUCAGAAACAAAUAUUCAAUCAGAAUCAUUCCAAGUAUCCGAUUGAAUUUCAACUAGUACUUCAAACUAGAGGAAUCAAUUAAUGUUAUCUUGAGUAAUGAUUUCAACAAAACUGUUGUCUGUUCUAUUGAAAAACUGACUACUGUACAAGGCGGGAAUUCAAAUGUUUGGAGAAUAUAUUCUAGGAACUCGGUGGAAAAAAACAUUAUUGAUAACAUGUUGAAACAAGUACAGCAAAUUAAAGAAAUUAAAUGGAAGGCGUACCCAAAAUACUCAGCAAUACAAUCUGAUAAUAAUUUCAAGCUCUACAAUUCUCUG